RNAcentral lists this long non-coding RNA (231 nucleotides) under Malus domestica (apple). RNAcentral's name for it is "long non-coding RNA (MDOM_LNC016887)". Lineage: Eukaryota; Viridiplantae; Streptophyta; Magnoliopsida; Rosales; Rosaceae. The record is from RNAcentral.
CUUGGAAUCAAGCUUCCAGUCCGGAACUGACUGCCUGGAACUCCAUUGCUCUCGGGUACUCAUCUUCAACAUCUUAUGUUUCCCGAGAAGAUACCACAUCUGUCUGAGGAACAAAUAAGGCAAGUGAGAAGGAUACAAGGAAGCAUGUGGAGACAAGCGUAACAGAACACACGUGCCGAUACAUUCACUACUUUGUCAACAGCAAAAGUAUCCCAUAUCAGCAGGGUCGAA